GAUGAACGCUGGCGGCGUGCCUAAUACAUGCAAGUCGAGCGAAAAGACGAGGCUCUUGCUCCUCUGACGUUAGCGGCGGACGGGUGAGUAACACGUGGAUAACCUACCUAUAAGACUGGGAUAACUACGGGAAACCGGAGCUAAUACCGGAGAAUCUAUUGAACCGCAUGGUUCAAUAGUGAAAUACGGCUUUGCUGUCAGUUAUAGAUGGAUCCGGGCCGCAUUAGCUAGUUGGUAGGGUAACGGGCUACCAAGGCAACGAGGCGUAGACGACGUGCGAGAGUGAUAGGCCACCCUGGAGCUUAGCCAGGGACAAGACUCCUAAGGGAGGCAGCAGUAGGCAAUCUGACGCAACGGGCGAAAGCCUGACGGAGCAAGGCCGAGUGAGUGAUGAAGGCGUCGGGAGCGUAAAGCUGUGUUAUGAGGGAAGAGCAAAUGUGUAAGUAACUAAGCACGGCUUGACGGUACCGAAUAAGAAAGCCACGGCUAACUACGUG
Molecule: ribosomal RNA, 497 nt
Filed under: uncultured bacterium
Lineage: Bacteria
Description: partial 16S ribosomal RNA
Rfam family: Bacterial small subunit ribosomal RNA
Source: RNAcentral